This 1343-nucleotide ribosomal RNA is filed under the name uncultured bacterium. RNAcentral's name for it is "16S ribosomal RNA". It matches the Rfam family "Bacterial small subunit ribosomal RNA", at positions 28 to 1378 of the family's 1533-position model. The record is from RNAcentral.
GACGAACGCUGUCGGCGUGCUUAACACAUGCAAGUCGAACGGAAAGGCCCUGCUUUUGUGGGGUGCUCGAGUGGCGAACGGGUGAGUAACACGUGAGUAACCUGCCCUUGACUUUGGGAUAACUUCAGGAAACUGGGGCUAAUACCGGAUAGGAGCUCCUGCUGCAUGGUGGGGGUUGGAAAGUUUCGGCGGUUGGGGAUGGACUCGCGGCUUAUCAGCUUGUUGGUGGGGUAGUGGCUUACCAAGGCUUUGACGGGUAGCCGGCCUGAGAGGGUGACCGGCCACGUUGGGACUGAGAUACGGCCCAGACUCCUACGGGAGGCAGCAGUGGGGAAUAUUGCACAAUGGGCGGAAGCCUGAUGCAGCAACGCCGCGUGCGGGAUGACGGCCUUCGGGUUGUAAACCGCUUUCGCCUGUGACGAAGCGUGAGUGACGGUAAUGGGUAAAGAAGCACCGGCUAACUACGUGCCAGCAGCCGCGGUGAUACGUAGGGUGCGAGCGUUGUCCGGAUUUAUUGGGCGUAAAGGGCUCGUAGGUGGUUGAUCGCGUCGGAAGUGUAGUCUUGGGGCUUAACCCUGAGCGUGCUUUCGAUACGGGUUGACUUGAGGAAGGUAGGGGAGAAUGGAAUUCCUGGUGGAGCGGUGGAAUGCGCAGAUAUCAGGAGGAACACCAGUGGCGAAGGCGGUUCUCUGGGCCUUUCCUGACGCUGAGGAGCGAAAGCGUGGGGAGCGAACAGGCUUAGAUACCCUGGUAGUCCACGCUGUAAACGGUGGGUACUAGGUGUGGGGUCCAUUCCACGGGUUCCGUGCCGUAGCUAACGCUUUAAGUACCCCGCCUGGGGAGUACGGCCGCAAGGCUAAAACUCAAAGGAAUUGACGGGGCCCCGCACAAGCGGCGGAGCAUGCGGAUUAAUUCGAUGCAACGCGUAGAACCUUACCUGGGUUUGACAUGGAUCGGGAGUGCUCAGAGAUGGGUGUGCCUCUUUUGGGGUCGGUUCACAGGUGGUGCAUGGCUGUCGUCAGCUCGUGUCGUGAGAUGUUGGGUUAAGUCCCGCAACGAGCGCAACCCUUGUUCACUGUUGCCAGCACGUUAUGGUGGGGACUCAGUGGAGACCGCCGGGGUCAACUCGGAGGAAGGUGGGGAUGACGUCAAGUCAUCAUGCCCCUUAUGUCCAGGGCUUCACGCAUGCUACAAUGGCUGGUACAGAGAGUGGCGAGCCUGUGAGGGUGAGCGAAUCUCGGAAAGCCGGUCUCAGUUCGGAUUGGGGUCUGCAACUCGACCUCAUGAAGUCGGAGUCGCUAGUAAUCGCAGAUCAGCAACGCUGCGGUGAAUACGUUCCCGGG